This 468-nucleotide ribosomal RNA is filed under the name uncultured bacterium. Its description in RNAcentral is "partial 16S ribosomal RNA". It matches the Rfam family "Bacterial small subunit ribosomal RNA", at positions 28 to 507 of the family's 1533-position model. The record is from RNAcentral.
GACGAACGCUGGCGGCGUGCUUAACACAUGCAAGUCGAACGGAAAGGCCCUGCUUUUGUGGGGUGCUCGAGUGGCGAACGGGUGAGUAACACGUGAGUAACCUGCCCUUGACUUUGGGAUAACUUCAGGAAACUGGGGCUAAUACCGGAUAGGAGCUCCUGCUGCAUGGUGGGGGUUGGAAAGUUUCGGCGGUUGGGGAUGGACUCGCGGCUUAUCAGCUUGUUGGUGGGGUAGUGGCUUACCAAGGCUUUGACGGGUAGCCGGCCUGGGAGGGUGACCGGCCACAUUGGUCCUGCGAUACGGCCCAGACUCCUACGUGAGGCAGCAGUGGGGAAUAUUGCACAAUGGUCGGAAGCCUGAUGCAGCAACGCCGCGUUCGUGAUGACGGCCUUCGGGUUGUAAACCGCUUUCGCCUGUGACGAAGCGUUAGUGACGGUAAUGGGUAAAGAAGCACCGGCUAACUACGUG